This 1312-nucleotide long non-coding RNA is filed under the name Homo sapiens (human). RNAcentral's name for it is "non-protein coding lnc-EMC8-4:1". Lineage: Eukaryota; Metazoa; Chordata; Mammalia; Primates; Hominidae. The record is from RNAcentral.
GCACAACAGCGACCACCGUUCGUCUGGGCUCUUGCCACCACUGGGUGGAUCUGCCGGUGCUGGGACGUGACAGACACGGAAUUGCACCGGGGGUGCCCGUCUGGGCAGGGCUUCUUCCACUCAGCACAGCCUUGCUGAGCCUCACCCACGCUGUCAUUUGUCCCUUUCUGCUACAGAGUGACAUUCCACUGCACAAAACGCCACGGCGUGUUCAUCCAUUCUCCCGUCGGUGGGCACCUGGCCGGUCUCUGAUCUUGAACGAAGCUGCUCCGCCCGUUCUUGUUCCAGCUGCUACACCUUUAAGAGGAAAAGUGAGCACAAUUUAUUUUUUGUUUUGUUUUGUUUUGGGGACAGGGUCUUGCUCUGUUGCCAAGGCUGGAGUGCAGUGGCGGGAUCUCAGCUCACUGGAACCUCCGCCUACUGGGCUCAAGUGAUCCUCCCACCUCAGCCUCCCCAGUAGCUUGGAUUACAGGCGUGCACCACCACAUCAGGCUAAUUUUUUUUUUUAUUUUUUAUGAAGACAGAGUUUCACCACGUUGGCCAGGCUAGUCUCAAACUCCCGGGCUCAAGGGAUCCGACCACCUCAGCCUCCCAAAGUGCUGGGAGGGAGCACAGUUUAAAGUUAAGCCGCCACCAUCGGAGAACCCUGCUGACCCACACACCUUCUCCUGCGCCCUGGAAACCAUCACCAGACCAGGGCCGGACACACAGGAUGCCUCGAACCAAUUUUAGUGAAAUCGUGAAAUCUGUUUUUCAUGCAUGAAGUCCCACCAUGCAACCCUCCAGGGGGAGACCCAGGAGUCCAGGCAGCCUGAGUGACUCACACAAGCCAGAAGUUUCUUCUUUAACAGAUAAAACCUGCCUUGUCCCAAGAGACGUCGUCCCGUAUUAACUUUCUAGCCUUCCAGAGACUUUGGGUCCCAGCUAACUUGGGUUCUGAUAUCCGAAGCUCUGGGAGGCAUAUUUAUAUUUAGCUUUUUUGUGAUCCUGACAGUGUGUGGGCCAGCAUGCCUUAGCCCCCGAAGGACUCUGAUAAAUAUUUGUAGAAGAAAGAGGGUGAGGAAGGGAGAGCGAGACAGCGGUACAAAGGAAGGGAAAGACCCAGGGGGUCUCCUGCAGGCGCACUGUUUGCCUGGCCAGUGUGUAAAUAUGUGAGUACGAAAACUAUACACAUUUUUUUUUUUUUUUUUGGAGACAGGGUCUUGCUCUGUCACCCAGGCUGGAGUGCAGUGGCGCAAUCUCGGCUCACUGCAACCUUGACCUCCCAGGCUCAAGCAACCCUCCCACCUCAGUCUCCCAAGUAGCUGAAACC